Molecule: non-coding RNA, 109 nt
Organism: Acanthosepion pharaonis
Lineage: Eukaryota; Metazoa; Mollusca; Cephalopoda; Sepiida; Sepiidae
Source: the annotation of a GenBank genome assembly
ACGACCAUAUCACGUUGAAAUACCGCUUCCCGUACGAUCAUUAAAGUUAAGCAACGUUGAGUCUGGUCAGUAUCUAGAUGAGUGACCGCUUGGGAGUACCAGAUGAGGU